UAAGACUUACAGACAUCUAGCCUGUAUCUUUUGAAUGCAAAUCAAAUACUUUCAUUAAGCCAAAGCCUUA
RNAcentral lists this transfer RNA (70 nucleotides) under Anolis gadovii (Gadow's anole). RNAcentral's name for it is "tRNA-Ala". The record is from RNAcentral. Lineage: Eukaryota; Metazoa; Chordata; Lepidosauria; Squamata; Anolidae.